GAUGAACGCUAGCGGCAGGCCUGAUACAUGCAAGUCGAACGGUAACAUGAGCGCCUGCGCUUGAUGACGAGUGGCGCACGGGUGCGUAACGCGUAUGCAACCUACCCUUUACUGGGGGAUAGCCCGGAGAAAUUCGGAUUAAUACCCCAUGGUACUGACAGAAGGCAUCUGAAGACAGUUAAAGAUUUAUUGGUAAAGGAUGGGCAUGCGUGACAUUAGUUAGUUGGUAAGGUAACGGCUUACCAAGACGAUGAUGUCUAGGGGUUCUGAGAGGAAGGUCCCCCACACUGGUACUGAGACACGGACCAGACUCCUACGGGAGGCAGCAGUAGGGAAUAUUGGUCAAUGGACGCAAGUCUGAACCAGCCAUGCCGCGUGCAGGAAGACAGCUUUCUGAGUUGUAAACUGCUUUUAUAUAGGAACAAAGAGGCCCUGCGGGGCAAGUUGCGUGUACUAUAUGAAUAAGCACCGGCUAACUCCGUGCCAGCAGCCGCGGUAAUACGGAGGGUGCAAGCGUUGUCCGGAUUUAUUGGGUUUAAAGGGUGCGUAGGUGGCUAAUUAAGUCAGUGGUGAAAGCCUGCAGCUCAACUGUAGAGGUGCCAUUGAUACUGAUUAGCUUGAGUAUGGACGAGGUAGGCGGAAUUUGUGGUGUAGCGGUGAAAUGCAUAGAUACCACAAAGAACACCGAUAGCGAAGGCAGCUUACUGGACCAUAACUGACACUGAGGCACGAAAGCGUGGGGAGCGAACAGGAUUAGAUACCCUGGUAGUCCACGCCGUAAACGAUGCUCACUCGAUGUAUGCGAUAUACUGUAUGCGUCCAAGCGAAAGCGUUAAGUGAGCCACCUGGGGAGUACGCUCGCAAAAGUG
This 869-nucleotide ribosomal RNA is filed under the name uncultured bacterium. Its description in RNAcentral is "bacterial SSU rRNA". It matches the Rfam family "Bacterial small subunit ribosomal RNA", at positions 28 to 896 of the family's 1533-position model. The record is from RNAcentral.